Molecule: ribosomal RNA, 274 nt
Filed under: uncultured bacterium
Lineage: Bacteria
Description: partial 16S ribosomal RNA
Rfam family: Bacterial small subunit ribosomal RNA
Source: RNAcentral
AUACGGAGGGUGCAAGCGUUACUCGGAAUCACUGGGCGUAAAGCGCGCGCAGGCGGCUUGAUAAGUUGGAUGUGAAAGCCUACUGCUCAACCGUAGAACUGCAUCCAAAACUGUCAGGCUAGAGUGUGGGAGAGGAAGAUGGAAUUAGUUGUGUAGGGGUAAAAUCCGUAGAGAUAACUAGAAAUACCAAAAGCGAAGGCAAUCUUCUGGAACACUACUGACGCUGAGGCGCGAAGGCGUGGGGAGCAAACAGGAUUAGAAACCCCAGUAGUCC